This 253-nucleotide ribosomal RNA is filed under the name uncultured bacterium. RNAcentral's name for it is "partial 16S ribosomal RNA". It matches the Rfam family "Bacterial small subunit ribosomal RNA", at positions 524 to 776 of the family's 1533-position model. The record is from RNAcentral.
UACGGAGGGGGCGAGCGUUAUUCGGAAUUAUUGGGCGUAAAGGGCGCGUAGGCGGCUUGACAAGUCAAAGGUGAAAUCCCUCGGCUCAACUGAGGAACUGCCUUUGAAACUGUCUGGCUUGAGGCCGGGAGGGGGUAGCGGAAUUCCCAGUGUAGCGGUGAAAUGCGUAGAUACUGGGAGGAACACCAGUGGCGAAGGCGGCUACCUGGACCGACAUUGACGCUGAGGAGCGAAAGCUAAGGGAGCAAACGGG